This is a small nuclear RNA of Anolis carolinensis (green anole), 178 nucleotides long. Its record names the gene U2. It matches the Rfam family "U2 spliceosomal RNA". Rfam says of the family: U2 is a small nuclear RNA (snRNA) component of the spliceosome (involved in pre-mRNA splicing). Complementary binding between U2 snRNA (in an area lying towards the 5' end but 3' to hairpin I) and the branchpoint sequence (BPS) of the intron results the bulging out of an unpaired adenosine, on the BPS, which initiates a nucleophilic attack at the intronic 5' splice site, thus starting the first of two transesterification reactions that mediate splicing. The record is from Ensembl. NCBI's taxonomy places the organism in Eukaryota, Metazoa, Chordata, Lepidosauria, Squamata, Anolidae.
UUUGGUUCUCGGCCUUUUGGCUAAGAUCAAGUGUAGUAUCUGUUCUUAUCAGUUUAAUAUUUGAUACGUCCUCUAUUUGAGGACUAUAUAUUAAAUGGAUUUUGGUUGAGUCUUUCAGUAACAAUUCAACAAGUGGCAGUUCUGAAACCACAAUAUCCACUAUGAAAGGUGAUUUUUA